GUUGUGACAGCCUCAAUAUAAUAAGGAAGCUAUAAAGUAUACAAGUUACCAAGCAGCAUGGCACUGUGUCUCCCUCAACUGGACGGUACGAGAACUAACGCUUGGAUGCCCACCACCGAUGAGCAAAGAAAGGGAUUUUUCUCAUUGCCAACCGGCGCCCGUAUUUGUGGGUACACUGGACACGUACCGAACAUGCAGCAGAGGAUUGGUGAAAGGUUUGCUAGUGCCACACAGACAGCAACGACCGAGCCAAUGAUCCAGUCACGUAAGGAAUUGGACGUAGAUAGAGAGAAUGAUCAACAAGAAGAUUUUGACGGCAUUAGAGAGUCUUUGCCUGGCAUACGUCACCUGCAGGUGCCCACACCAGGCAGUCAGGCAAGACUGAACUGUUCCAUGGUGCCGGGAUA
This is a long non-coding RNA of Priapulus caudatus, 407 nucleotides long. RefSeq lists it as uncharacterized. The transcript has 3 exons. NCBI's taxonomy places the organism in Eukaryota, Metazoa, Priapulida, Priapulimorpha, Priapulimorphida, Priapulidae. The record is from RefSeq and is a predicted model, not a curated record.